GAUUCUCAAUAAUCUAAAUCUGAGCGAUGUUGAUGUUUUGAUAAAGCAGCGUAUGGUGAUCAUCAUCAUCUUCAUCGAUUGCAUGGGUUUACAGAAUGCCUCAGCUUCGUAGUGGUGUUCGACGUCCUCGUCCUGCUGCUCCUUCUCCUCCUCCUCCUCCUCCACCCAAGCCGGCCACCAGAGGUAGACCCAGAACUAGAUUAGCCGCCGCCAAGAACAUCAACAAAUCAUCCCAGGAGGAGGACCCACCGUUGUUAUUACAACCUGAUACUUUCGUUGUUGAACCUCCCAAGGAGAACAUAGUAAUUGAAGAAGAAGCUGUUGGUGUGAUGGGUGAUGAAAGAGUUGGUCUUAGUGCUAAUAAAGAUAAGGCUGUUGCUGCUGUUCCUGAGGAAGAUGCCAACUCUCCACCUCUUCCAGAAAGGGUACUUAGUUACUUCAUUAUUUCAAUACUUUUGUUUCUUAAUUAUCAUACUUUUGUUUUUGUUUUUAACAACUACUUAUGGAUUUUGAUUUCAAUUUUUAAGGUUCAAGUAGGUGGAUCACCUCUAUACAAGGUAGAAAGGAAACUUGGUAAAGGUGGAUUUGGCCAGGUUUUUGUUGGCCGUCGUGAGCGUGCAAAUGCACCAGGAGCUGUGGAGGUAUGUUUCUCUUUUUUACAUCUGGGGCUCUCUUUGUAUCUUCAAGGUUUUUUUUUUUAUGUUACCUUCUGAUUUGAUUUCUAUUUGUCAUUUCUCAGGUUGCUCUGAAAUUUGAACAUAGAAACAGUAAAGGUUGCAACUAUGGCCCUCCUUAUGAGUGGCAAGUAUACAAGUAAGUACCCUCUUAUUUUUUAAAUUAUUUGAUUCAAGUCAUUAUGUAUUGUGAAAGAGAGCCUUGCCACAACUAUUCUAGUUGUGCUCGUCUGACUAGGAUGUCAUAGGUUUGAGUCAUGCACUCAUGUAUUCGGUCUCCUGCUUAUGCAAGAUAACAGUAUACCUACCUCUACACAAUAGACCCGCAAUGGGUCCGACCCUUCUAUAGAGUCUUUCACGGUGANNNNNNNNNNNNNNNNNNNNNNNNNNNNNNNNNNNNNNNNNNNNNNNNNNNNNNNNNNNNNNNNNNNNNNNNNNNNNNNNNNNNNNNNNNNNNNNNNNNNUAAAAACACUAACAGAAAAUUUUGUAGGAACUAAAAAUUGUAAUUUAUUUUUAUAGAGACUAAAAACAAAACAACAGAUAUUUAUAGGGACCAAAACUUAAUUAAUCCCAUUCUAAAUAAUCAUUUAAAGUCGAUAUAAACAAACACAAUUUAAAAAUAUUAUAAGUUUAUAACGUGACUUAUGUAAAAGGGGAAUAUAUUUGAGAAAAGUAGGGUAAACGCGGAGUAAGAUACUUAUAUGUUACUAAUCUUUGUCUAUUUAACUUACAAAUCUUUCUAUUCAUUGUCAAAACAACAUGGAUACUAAAGAGUUUUUUUUUUUUUUGUUUAAAGUAUCGUGAAAAAACGAAUUCUUGCAGCUUGUUGGGAGCAGACUCCAUAAUAUGGAGAUUUGAACAAUUCAUAUAGGAGUUGGAAUUACCAAAGCUAAUCAACACUCUAAUUCCAUCCGCGUUGAGUAUGGCUAAUAUAGAAGAAAAUGGUAGUGAGUAACAUACAUAUCAACAACCAUUAAAUUGUUUCGUCCGCGUGGGCAGAUGAGUAUUUUAGGAGAAGAAUUUACAAAACGGAAAUGAACUUUUUUUUAUGAAAUUCGAUUCUACUAUUCACGCUAAAAAUUGUUUAAAAGUUCAAGAAUUUAAAUAUAAUUAAAUAAAAUUAAUUUUAAUAAAGACUAAAACUGCACAUUUAGCAGUACUUGAAUGAGAUGACAAAUAAUUUAUCCUGGUAUUAAAUUCGAAUCCGACUUUGAAAAUGCAAAAAUGUUAAAUAUCAUGUGGGGGAGUUUUGCCACUCCAUAACGAUUACACCGAUUCAAUGAUUAAUCUUUACAAUUACGCGCGCAUGAUAAUCGGUUCACAUUAAAAUUGGCGUGGACAUUUUAUUUUUCAGUAGAACUAAUUUAUAAGAUUCAAAUUUUGUUCCUAAAAAAAAAGAAGAUUUAAAUUUUGUAUGGACGGAAAAUAUAUUUAAGAAAAGAAAAGAAAAGGAAAUAAUAAUUAGAUAAGAAAUAUCUAAGUGGAAAGUCUGUGUAGAGGGUAUACCUUGAAUUUAGUUUGCAAGGGGAUCUUGUUACCUGCCUGCCUCCAUUUCUCAACUCACCCUCCUCCCUUCUUCUCUCUUUCUUUCAAUUCAGUUUGUCUCUUCCAAACCCUAUCUAUCUAUCUAUUGAUUCAAACAAAAUCGAUUCUCAAUAAUCUAAAUCUGAGCGAUGUUGAUGUUUUGAUAAAGCAGCGUAUGGUGAUCAUCAUCAUCUUCAUCGAUUGCAUGGGUUUACAGAAUGCCUCAGCUUCGUAGUGGUGUUCGACGUCCUCGUCCUGCUGCUCCUUCUCCUCCUCCUCCUCCUCCACCCAAGCCGGCCACCAGAGGUAGACCCAGAACUAGAUUAGCCGCCGCCAAGAACAUCAACAAAUCAUCCCAGGAGGAGGACCCACCGUUGUUAUUACAACCUGAUACUUUCGUUGUUGAACCUCCCAAGGAGAACAUAGUAAUUGAAGAAGAAGCUGUUGGUGUGAUGGGUGAUGAAAGAGUUGGUCUUAGUGCUAAUAAAGAUAAGGCUGUUGCUGCUGUUCCUGAGGAAGAUGCCAACUCUCCACCUCUUCCAGAAAGGGUACUUAGUUACUUCAUUAUUUCAAUACUUUUGUUUCUUAAUUAUCAUACUUUUGUUUUUGUUUUUAACAACUACUUAUGGAUUUUGAUUUCAAUUUUUA
This 2847-nucleotide long non-coding RNA is filed under the name Medicago truncatula (barrel medic). Its description in RNAcentral is "long non-coding RNA (MTRU_LNC007928)". The record is from RNAcentral. Lineage: Eukaryota; Viridiplantae; Streptophyta; Magnoliopsida; Fabales; Fabaceae.